Sinocyclocheilus anshuiensis is the source of this 175-nucleotide long non-coding RNA. RefSeq lists it as uncharacterized. The transcript has 3 exons. The record is from RefSeq and is a predicted model, not a curated record. Lineage: Eukaryota; Metazoa; Chordata; Actinopteri; Cypriniformes; Cyprinidae.
UGUAAAAAAAUGUAUUGCAAGAAUCUUCAGUCAACCUCAUUCCUUUGCUAGAAGCAGAGAAAAGCUUGUCCUAACCUAGCCUACUUUGUGACACUGUGGUCUAACUUGUCCAUCUUUCAGAUUUUUAGCACAUUGACCUUGACUGUCAUUGACUCAUCUUUCCAGCUUGGGAAAA